CUGAUUAGUCAAGGGGUCUCGACCUCCCAUGGGGUGGACAACGUGCAACAAGUGCACCAACCUCUGAGAAAGAAUCAUUCUCUCUCCUCUCUCCUCUCUCUUCAUUCGCCCUUCUCCCUCCGGUCUCCACCUGACUAGGGUGAUCGUAGAGAAGCUGCCAUUCUGAUAUUCCCAGAGAGACCUUAGCUCACAGCAAGGCAGCACGUAGCCAGAUCACAGUGGCGUUUACUCUGCGCCUUAGCUCGCGUGCAGAUCGCCGCAUUGGCAGAAACAAUAACCUUCUUUGUGACACUUCCGGCCCUGCUUGCGAGAGGUGGCCUGGCGGUACUUCUGGCGCUAAAGCUCGGGACUCUUCUCCACCUGUAGGAGGCCCUGAGCGCGCCCACGCCCUAACCGCCCUUGCGCUUCCAAAUUUCGCUGCUCUCAAAGGGCUUGGGUCUUUCUAGGAGCUAUGAUGCCCGAACGCACUUAAAUAUCUUCAGCUGUUGGGAAAGGGAAUUGCUUUCAUUUUAAGGGUCUCCACGGAGGCGAAUAGUUAAAGGAGGAGAUACAUUUUGACACUGCAAAAUGCUUGCGAUGGAAAAGAGAUUGAAGCAGGUUCACUGCUGAGAGGCGCCUCCAGUUGAACCCUUUGUCACUCCACAAUUCUUCCUUCUUUGUGAUUUGCUAGCACCUGAACUGGGGGUUUUAAGAAAGGAGAGGUUAAGUGAAGAGAGGAACUGGAGCAAUGAUGCCCCGUUAGCUGUAAAUUCACUGCUCCUAAAGAAUAAACCCCCAAUGGUUUAUUCUAGCACUUCUUUUUGUCUUUCAUUGCGCAUAGGCAUAUUCAGGUGUGGAAGCACACAUAGAUAAUUCUCUAUCACACGUUUAAGAUACUUCAUAUAAUAGAAUUCGUGUUAUGAAGAUGCAACAUAUACGUGUUCUGGAAAAUUUGUGAAACAAAAGUUCAAAAAAGAAAAUUUGAAUCAUCCCACACUAAAAC
This 982-nucleotide long non-coding RNA is filed under the name Marmota monax (woodchuck). The record is from RNAcentral. Lineage: Eukaryota; Metazoa; Chordata; Mammalia; Rodentia; Sciuridae.